This 519-nucleotide long non-coding RNA is filed under the name Hordeum vulgare. RNAcentral's name for it is "long non-coding RNA (HVUL_LNC003362)". Lineage: Eukaryota; Viridiplantae; Streptophyta; Magnoliopsida; Poales; Poaceae. The record is from RNAcentral.
UUUUUUUUGUCAAACAACCUGCAUGUGAAAUAAGCGCAAAGUUGGCAAGUUGAUUCUCGAAAAUAGCGAUUAUGGCUCUCAAUAAAAGCAAAAUGAAAAGGCCAUUGCUAGGCUCCGACGGGCCGGCUGGUCGGCUAGCAGCCAUUCGAUUUGAGUGAGAUGGAUCCCAUGAUCUAUGCCUUUCCAUUCCUUUCGUAUUUGUCAAAUUCUCUUCCCCCACGUCUCUCCUUCCCCUUAGAGCUUGUUUGGUUUCUUGAAAUUUGAUGGGUUUGAAGGGGAUUAAAAAGGAUUUCAUCCUUUAUAUAAGUUAAAAUCAACCUUAAUCUCCUUCAAUCCUCUACAAUCCCGUGUAGGAGGGAUUAACCAAACAAGCCCUUAGGUCUCGUUUAGCAUAGAGGGACUCGUACGGUUUUGAAGGGAAUUUUCACAUGUGGGCCAGAACCAUCUAAAUCCUCUUUGGUCCAUUUGGUACAUGGGCUCUCUGUUGGAAAUAUGCCCUAUAGGUAAUAAUAAAAUAGU